GGGGCAUUAGCUCAUCUGGCUAGAGUGGCAGACUGGCAGUCUGCAGGUGACCGGUUCGAGUCCGGUAUGCUCCA
This 74-nucleotide transfer RNA is filed under the name Bacteroidales bacterium OttesenSCG-928-M06. Its description in RNAcentral is "tRNA-Ala". It matches the Rfam family "tRNA". Rfam says of the family: Transfer RNA (tRNA) molecules are approximately 80 nucleotides in length. The record is from RNAcentral. Lineage: Bacteria; Pseudomonadati; Bacteroidota; Bacteroidia; Bacteroidales.